Molecule: ribosomal RNA, 638 nt
Filed under: Frateuria terrea
Lineage: Bacteria; Pseudomonadati; Pseudomonadota; Gammaproteobacteria; Lysobacterales; Rhodanobacteraceae
Description: bacterial LSU rRNA
Rfam family: Bacterial large subunit ribosomal RNA
Source: RNAcentral
CAAGCGACCAAGCGUAUACGGUGGAUGCCUUGGCAGUCAGAGGCGAUGAAGGACGUGGCAGCCUGCGAAAAGUGUCGGGGAGCUGGCAACAAGCUUUGAUCCGGCAAUGUCCGAAUGGGGAAACCCACCGCUUAGGCGGUACCGUGCACUGAAUACAUAGGUGUACGGAGCGAACCCGGGGAACUGAAAUAUCUAAGUACCCGGAGGAAAAGAAAUCAACCGAGAUUCCGUAAGUAGCGACGAGCGAACGCGGAGCAGCCCAAAAGCGCACAGUGUUUUAGCUAAAGGAUCUGGAAAGGUCCGCCAUAGACGGUGAUAGCCCGGUAGGCGAAAGGGCACCGUGCGUGAAAUUGAGUAGGGCGGGGCACGAGAAACCCUGUCUGAACAUGGGGGGGACCAUCCUCCAAGGCUAAAUACUCCUGACUGACCGAUAGCGAACAAGUACCGUGAGGGAAAGGCGAAAAGAACCCCGGAGAGGGGAGUGAAAUAGACCCUGAAACCGUAUACGUACAAGCAGUGGAAGCCCGCAAGGGUGACUGCGUACCUUUUGUAUAAUGGGUCAGCGACUUACUGUCAGUGGCGAGCUUAACCGUCUAGGGGAGGCGAAGGGAAACCGAGUCUGAAUAGGGCGCAUAGUC